RNAcentral lists this ribosomal RNA (253 nucleotides) under uncultured bacterium. RNAcentral's name for it is "partial 16S ribosomal RNA". It matches the Rfam family "Bacterial small subunit ribosomal RNA", at positions 524 to 776 of the family's 1533-position model. The record is from RNAcentral.
UACGUAGGGUGUAAGCGUUAAUCGGAAUUACUGGGCGUAAAGCGUGCGCAGGCGGUUAUGCAAGACAGAUGUGAAAUCCCCGGGCUCAACCUGGGAACUGCAUUUGUGACUGCAUGGCUAGAGUACGGUAGAGGGGGAUGGAAUUCCGCGUGUAGCAGUGAAAUGCGUAGAUAUGCGGAGGAACACCGAUGGCGAAGGCAAUCCCCUGGACCUGUACUGACGCUCAUGCACGAAAGCGUGGGGAGCAAACAGG